GAUGAACGCUAGCUACAGGCUUAACACAUGCAAGUCGAGGGGCAGCAUGACGAUAGCUUGCUAUUGUUGAUGGCGACCGGCGCACGGGUGAGUAACGCGUAUCCAACCUGCCCUUGUCCAUCGGAUAACCCGUCGAAAGGCGGCCUAACACGAUAUGCAGUUCUCAGCAGGCAUCUAACGAGAACGAAAUGUAAAGGAGAAGGAUGGGGAUGCGUCUGAUUAGCUUGUUGGCGGGGUAACGGCCCACCAAGGCGACGAUCAGUAGGGGUUCUGAGAGGAAGGUCCCCCACAUUGGAACUGAGACACGGUCCAAACUCCUACGGGAGGCAGCAGUGAGGAAUAUUGGUCAAUGGGCGAGAGCCUGAACCAGCCAAGUAGCGUGCAGGAUGACGGCCCUAUGGGUUGUAAACUGCUUUUAUGCGGGGAUAAAGUGAGCCACGUGUGGCUUAUUGCAGGUACCGCAUGAAUAAGGACCGGCUAAUUCCGUGCCAGCAGCCGCUGUAA
This 504-nucleotide ribosomal RNA is filed under the name uncultured bacterium. Its description in RNAcentral is "partial 16S ribosomal RNA". It matches the Rfam family "Bacterial small subunit ribosomal RNA", at positions 28 to 523 of the family's 1533-position model. The record is from RNAcentral.